GCAGCAGCAGCGGCCCCCGGGCUCCGUGUCGGCGAGGGGCAGCAGCCCCAAGGCUCCUCCCGAGGAGCCUGAAGAUGAUGUUUGGCGCUACAACUCCUUCCAGUACUGGAGGUCUCCAUUGCCUGCUAUUGAUUUGUCUGAUAUUUUGGAUUUAGAAAAAGAUGAUGCAAUAGAUGGAAGACGGUCCAGCAGUGUUUGCCUCUCAGAAAUGGAAACCUGAAACCUGAUUAAUUCUCAAGUUACUUUGCCGAAGUUGGUUUCUUCUUUUGCUUGGAAAAGUAAGCAGAGACAAUAGCCUGUUGGAGAAAAAUAUGCUUUGAAGGAAGGAAAACGUCUCAAAAAGAAAGAACAGCAAAAGAACCAUCAGUGGACUGUCUAGAAAAUUGAUGGUAUAAAGAAUGAAGGGAGCAUGAAGCUUGGAGAACAAUUGGAACAUUUGAAAAUGAAUGUAUGCUGACAAAAAACCCAUAGUUGGUACUUACUUCAUUGAAAGAAAGUCAGAAGGGUGUGUCCUAAGUUGAACCUCGCCAAAUAACUCAGUUGAGAUCUGUACUGUCUUUGUUGCUAGACAAAAAAUAUUGUUGCUUAACC
This is a long non-coding RNA of Lacerta agilis (Sand lizard), 591 nucleotides long. RefSeq lists it as uncharacterized. Lineage: Eukaryota; Metazoa; Chordata; Lepidosauria; Squamata; Lacertidae. The transcript is spliced from 2 exons. The record is from RefSeq and is a predicted model, not a curated record.